Molecule: transfer RNA, 74 nt
Filed under: Lentisphaerota bacterium
Lineage: Bacteria; Pseudomonadati; Lentisphaerota
Description: Lentisphaerae bacterium (anaerobic digester metagenome) tRNA-Ile
Rfam family: tRNA
About the family: Transfer RNA (tRNA) molecules are approximately 80 nucleotides in length. Their secondary structure includes four short double-helical elements and three loops (D, anti-codon, and T loops).
Source: RNAcentral
GGGCCCGUAGCUCAGUAGGUCAGAGCAGCGGACUCAUAAUCCGCGGGUCGCUGGUUCGAGCCCAGCCGGGCCCA